CGGCCCCAAAAUAUAGCAGUUUUACAAAAUUGUUAAAAUAUAAACUUUUAGUGGCUUAUUAGACAGUAGAAUGCUGCUUCUACAUAAAUUUGGGCUCUUUUUGACAAUACAAUGCACAUAUAUCGGGUAUUAGCACCAUUAAGUCAUGCUAAAUUACUGAAAUCUUCACAAUUCUAGCAUUUUAGUUAAAUUUUAGACAGUUUUCGUGUAAAACGAAAGUGGCCGCAUUUGUGUUCAUCCUUAAUAUUGAAAUGUAAGUUGUAUUUUAUGAUAAUACAUAACAUAUAUAAAGGUUGAGGAUGAACACGGAUG
Molecule: long non-coding RNA, 312 nt
Filed under: Mytilus galloprovincialis (Mediterranean mussel)
Lineage: Eukaryota; Metazoa; Mollusca; Bivalvia; Mytilida; Mytilidae
Source: RNAcentral